UAAAACAUCAUUUGCAGCUGAACUCUCGUGUCCUGGCAAUAAUAUGACUUAUAAAUCAAGCAAUUAAGAAAGUGAAAGUUUUCAUGCGGGUCAACCAUGGUCUUGGUGAUUCCAUCUGCCAUAAAACAUAAGCAUGACCAAAACAAAAUGGUGUAUUAGUAUUUUGUGAUAUCUCUAAAAGCCAUAUAUCAGGUAUAAGU
Molecule: long non-coding RNA, 200 nt
Filed under: Phoenix dactylifera (date palm)
Lineage: Eukaryota; Viridiplantae; Streptophyta; Magnoliopsida; Arecales; Arecaceae
Description: long non-coding RNA (PDAC_LNC021821)
Source: RNAcentral